UACGUAGGUGGCAAGCGUUAUCCGGAUUUAUUGGGCGUAAAGCGAGCGCAGGCGGUUGCUUAGGUCUGAUGUGAAAGCCUUCGGCUUAACCGAAGAAGUGCAUCGGAAACCGGGCGACUUGAGUGCAGAAGAGGACAGUGGAACUCCAUGUGUAGCGGUGGAAUGCGUAGAUAUAUGGAAGAACACCAGUGGCGAAGGCGGCUUACUGGACUGUAACUGACGUUGAGGCUCGAAAGCGUGGGGAGCAAACAGG
Molecule: ribosomal RNA, 253 nt
Filed under: uncultured Lactobacillus sp.
Lineage: Bacteria; Bacillati; Bacillota; Bacilli; Lactobacillales; Lactobacillaceae
Description: partial 16S ribosomal RNA
Rfam family: Bacterial small subunit ribosomal RNA
Source: RNAcentral